GGAAGUAAAGUGAACAAGGUUUCCGUAGGUGAACCUGCGGAAGGAUCAUUAUUGUAUAACCGAGGUGCGAGGGCUGUCGCUGACCCGAAAGGUCGUGCACGCCCGAGUGCCCUCACACACAUCCAUCUCACCCCUAUGUGCACCACCGCGUGGGUCCCCCUUUGGCUUGUUCGGAGGGGGGCUUACGUUUUCACACAAACUUUGUAUGCAGUGUAGAAUGUAUUUUUUGUUUUUGCGAUCACGCAAUCAAUACAACUUUCAACAACGGAUCUCUUGGCUCUC
Molecule: unclassified non-coding RNA, 282 nt
Filed under: plant metagenome
Description: partial contains small subunit ribosomal RNA, internal transcribed spacer 1, and 5.8S ribosomal RNA
Source: RNAcentral